RNAcentral lists this small nuclear RNA (159 nucleotides) under Zalophus californianus (California sea lion). RNAcentral's name for it is "U2 spliceosomal RNA (ENSZCAG00015006821.1)". It matches the Rfam family "U2 spliceosomal RNA". From Rfam's summary of the family: U2 is a small nuclear RNA (snRNA) component of the spliceosome (involved in pre-mRNA splicing). Complementary binding between U2 snRNA (in an area lying towards the 5' end but 3' to hairpin I) and the branchpoint sequence (BPS) of the intron results the bulging out of an unpaired adenosine, on the BPS, which initiates a nucleophilic attack at the intronic 5' splice site, thus starting the first of two transesterification reactions that mediate splicing. The record is from RNAcentral. Lineage: Eukaryota; Metazoa; Chordata; Mammalia; Carnivora; Otariidae.
AUCGUUUCUCGGCCUUUUGGCUAAGAUCAAGUGUAGUAUCUGUUCUUAUCAGUUUAAAAUUCCGUAAGUUAUCUUGCCAUAGGUAUUGCUCACUCUCCCUUGAAUAACCUGAUAUUUAUUAUUCAUUAUAAGGGCAAAAUGUGAAAGAUUGCACUCUAA